GCACCGCUUGUCCCCCUAGUGAGUCGGCCUUGGUUAUAUAGUUUUUUGUAAAAUCAAGUUGAACCAACCAUAUAAGACUCUCUGAUGUGUUACGCUUUCAGAUUAGUCCAAUUUAUAACACUAAACGUGUUUUUUUUUAACCGACCGAAUCAUUCGAUAGGGUUUUUCAAAAAAUUAAAAUAUAUAAGAUUCUCCUAUCUGGUGUUUCCUGAUUUGAAAUACCAAAUAUAUAACGUGUCCUAGUAUAAUUUUUCGAAAAUCAGUAUAAGUAAUAAUAUUACUUUGUUAGCUAUCCUCAGAGGCGGACCCAGUAAAGGAUUUGGGGUGUCAGUUGACACAGGUAAAAUGAUAAAAACAAUUGUUUUUGUAUUGAAAAUUGUAUUAGAGUCAUCAAUCCAACGGGUAUUUGCUAAAGGGUUGACACCCUUGUUCAAAAAAUAGGCCGCGGAGGCGAAUACUCGGCCGGUUAAACGUGAUGCGGGUGGGGUCCGUGGCGAAUUGAGUCACUUUGGUUGCAUUAUGCGGUGGAAUUGACGUGGACGGCGUAGAAUUAGAAAACGCGUCCGCGUAAUGGUGAAGAAACUUCCUCCGAUUCAAAUGGGUUGUCUAAAGGUUGAACCCUCGUUACAGAUACAUGGUGGUUGUGUUGGUGUAGCGAGAACAAAUCAAAAGGCACGCCAAGAUCAAAGCACACCAACUGUUCGAUGAAAUUCCUAAGAGAAAGUUCACAUGAUUGUAAACUGUAAAGAUUAUAAUGCUUUGAUGAUCAUGAGAUGCGGAGACGUGAGUGGUGUGUUACCACAAAAUCAAGGGAAGGUGUAUGGUUCCAAAGACAUUGUUAUUAUGCUCAUGAAACUGUUCUUUGAGAAUGGUGAAGUCAAUUUAGAACUAAACCUGAGGAAAUAUAUGAGGAGAAAGCGUAUUGCCCUCAUGGCCAUGCAUUGGAACUCUUUACCAAUGCAUAGUGUGUUUGAAGAAAACACAAUGAUGCUCUUAAGUGCUCAACGCAAACAAUGGAGAGACGAAGGUGCGUGAACAAACAAGACUAUUGUUCAAGUUGUAUACAGAAUAUUUGAAUAGAUAUUGACAAUAUUGUAGUUUGUUCCUGUAUUUACGAAUAUGUGAGUUUUAGUAUCAAUAAUGUUUUAUGCACAAACAUGUAUUAUACAUAAAAUUUUGUAUUAUACGUAUAAAUAGGGAUAUUAUACAUACAAAAAUACAAAAAAUUCUUC
This is a long non-coding RNA of Brassica napus (rape), 1232 nucleotides long. RefSeq lists it as uncharacterized. NCBI's taxonomy places the organism in Eukaryota, Viridiplantae, Streptophyta, Magnoliopsida, Brassicales, Brassicaceae. The record is from RefSeq and is a predicted model, not a curated record. The transcript has 2 exons.